This 100-nucleotide ribosomal RNA is filed under the name uncultured bacterium. RNAcentral's name for it is "partial 16S ribosomal RNA". The record is from RNAcentral.
CACAUCGCCCGUCCACACCAUGGGAGUUGGCUGCACCAGAAGCCGGUAGUCUAACCGCAAGGGGGACGCCGUCCACGGUGUGGUCAAGUGACGUGGGGUG